GGGGAAUAUUGCGCAAUGGGCGCAAGCCUGAUGCAGCGACGCCGCGUGGGGGAUGACGGCCUUCGGGUUGUAAACUCCUUUCGCCAGGGACGAAGCGUUUUGUGACGGUACCUGGAGAAGAAGCACCGGCUAACUACGUGCCAGCAGCCGCGGUAAUACGUAGGGUGCAAGCGUUGUCCGGAAUUACUGGGCGUAAAGAGCUCGUAGGUGGUUUGUCACGUCGUCUGUGAAAUUCCACAGCUUAACUGUGGGCGUGCAGGCGAUACGGGCUGACUUGAGUACUGUAGGGGUAACUGGAAUUCCUGGUGUAGCGGUGAAAUGCGCAGAUAUCAGGAGGAACACCGAUGGCGAAGGCAGGUUACUGGGCAGUUACUGACGCUGAGGAGCGAAAGCAUGGGUAGCAAACAGGAUUAGAUACCCUGGUAGUCCAUGCCGUAAACGGUGGGCGCUAGGUGUAGGGGCCUUUUGGGGUUUCUGUGCCGUAGCUAACGCAUUAAGCGCCCCGCCUGGGGAGUACGGCCGCAAGGCUA
This 530-nucleotide ribosomal RNA is filed under the name uncultured bacterium. RNAcentral describes it as "bacterial SSU rRNA". It matches the Rfam family "Bacterial small subunit ribosomal RNA", at positions 356 to 896 of the family's 1533-position model. The record is from RNAcentral.